AUGAACGCUAGCUACAGGCUUAACCCAUGCAAGUCGAGGGGAAACGAUGAGAGAGCUUGCUCUCUUAGGCGUCGACCGGCGCACGGGUGAGUAACGCGUAUCCAACCUACCCAUUACAGGGGGAUAACCUUGCGAAAGUAAGACUAAUACCCCAUGGCAUUUUAUGGUGGCAUCAUUAUAGGAUUAAAGAUUUAUUGGUAAUGGAUGGGGAUGCGUCUGAUUAGCUUGUUGGCGGGGUAACGGCCCACCAAGGCAACGAUCAGUAGGGGUUCUGAGAGGAAGGUCCCCCACAUUGGAACUGAGACACGGUCCAAACUCCUACGGGAGGCAGCAGUGAGGAAUAUUGGUCAAUGGGCGAGAGCUUGAACCAGCCAAGUAGCGUGCAGGAUGACGGCCCUAUGGGUUGUAAACUGCUUUUAUAGGGGAAUAAAGUGAGCUACGUGUAGUUUAUUGCAUGUACCCUAUGAAUAAGGACCGGCUAAUUCCGUG
This 489-nucleotide ribosomal RNA is filed under the name uncultured bacterium. RNAcentral describes it as "partial 16S ribosomal RNA". It matches the Rfam family "Bacterial small subunit ribosomal RNA", at positions 29 to 507 of the family's 1533-position model. The record is from RNAcentral.